This 497-nucleotide ribosomal RNA is filed under the name uncultured bacterium. RNAcentral's name for it is "partial 16S ribosomal RNA". It matches the Rfam family "Bacterial small subunit ribosomal RNA", at positions 28 to 507 of the family's 1533-position model. The record is from RNAcentral.
GAUGAACGCUGGCGGCGUGCCUAAUACAUGCAAGUCGAGCGAACGGACGAGAAGCUUGCUUUUCUGAUGUUAGCGGCGGACGGGUGAGUAACACGUGGAUAACCUACCUAUAAGACUGGGAUAACUUCGGGAAACCGGAGCUAAUACCGGAUAAUAUUUUGAACCGCAUGGUUCAAAAGUGAAAGACGGUCUUGCUGUCACUUAUAGAUGGAUCCGCGCUGCAUUAGCUAGUUGGUAAGGUAACGGCUUACCAAGGCAACGAUGCAUAGCCGACCUGAGAGGGUGAUCGGCCACACUGGAACUGAGACACGGUCCAGACUCCUACGGGAGGCCGCAGUAGGGAAUCUUCCGCAAUGGGCGAAAGCCUGACGGAGCAACGCUGCGUGAGUGAUGAAGGUCUUCGGAUCGUAAAACUCUGUUAUUAGGGAAGAACAUAUGUGUAAGUAACUGUGCACAUCUUGACGGUACCUAAUCAGAAAGCCACGGCUAACUACGUG